RNAcentral lists this ribosomal RNA (859 nucleotides) under Psathyrella sp. Its description in RNAcentral is "LSU rRNA". It matches the Rfam family "Eukaryotic large subunit ribosomal RNA", at positions 78 to 922 of the family's 3401-position model. Lineage: Eukaryota; Fungi; Basidiomycota; Agaricomycetes; Agaricales; Psathyrellaceae. The record is from RNAcentral.
CCCUAGUAACUGCGAGUGAAGCGGGAAAAGCUCAAAUUUAAAAUCUGGCGGUCUUUGGCUGUCCGAGUUGUAAUCUAGAGAAGUGUUACCCGCGCUGGACCGUGUAUAAGUCUCCUGGAAUGGAGCGUCAUAGAGGGUGAGAAUCCCGUCUUUGACACGGACUACCAGGGCUUUGUGGUGCGCUCUCAAAGAGUCGAGUUGUUUGGGAAUGCAGCUCAAAAUGGGUGGUAAAUUCCAUCUAAAGCUAAAUAUUGGCGAGAGACCGAUAGCGAACAAGUACCGUGAGGGAAAGAUGAAAAGAACUUUGGAAAGAGAGUUAAACAGUACGUGAAAUUGCUGAAAGGGAAACGCUUGAAGUCAGUCAUGUUGACCAGAAAUCAACCUUGCUUUUUGCUGGGCGUAUUUUCUGGUUGACAGGUCAGCAUCAGUUUUGACUGGUGGAAAAAGGCCAAGGGAAUGUGGCACCUUUGGGUGUGUUAUAGCCCUUGGUUGUAUACAUCAGUUGGGACUGAGGAACUCAGCAUGCCGUAAGGCCGGGUCUUUGACCACGUUCAUGCUUAGGAUGCUGGCAUAAUGGCUUUAAUCGACCCGUCUUGAAACACGGACCAAGGAGUCUAACAUGCCUGCGAGUGUUUGGGUGGAAAACCCGAGCGCGUAAUGAAAGUGAAAGUUGAGAUCCCUGUCGUGGGGAGCAUCGACGCCCGGACCUGAAGUUCUCUGACGGAUCUGCGGUAGAGCAUGUAUGUUGGGACCCGAAAGAUGGUGAACUAUGCCUGAAUAGGGUGAAGCCAGAGGAAACUCUGGUGGAGGCUCGUAGCGAUUCUGACGUGCAAAUCGAUCGUCAAAUUUGGGUAUAGGG